RNAcentral lists this ribosomal RNA (459 nucleotides) under uncultured bacterium. RNAcentral describes it as "partial 16S ribosomal RNA". It matches the Rfam family "Bacterial small subunit ribosomal RNA", at positions 338 to 795 of the family's 1533-position model. The record is from RNAcentral.
CCUACGGGUGGCAGCAGUGAGGAAUAUUGGUCAAUGGGCGCGAGCCUGAACCAGCCAAGUCGCGUGAGGGAAGACGGUCCUAUGGAUUGUAAACCUCUUUUGUCGGGGAGCAAAAGACGCCACGCGUGGCGUUCCGAGAGUACCCGACGAAAAUGCAUCGGCUAACUCCGUGCCAGCAGCCGCGGUAAUACGGAGGAUGCGAGCGUUAUCCGGAGUUAUUGGGUUUAAAGGGUGCGCAGGCGGAAGGUCAAGUCAGCGGUAAAAUUGAGAGGCUCAACCUCUUCGAGCUGUUGAUACUGGUUGUCUUGAGUGAGUGAGAAGUAUGCGGAAGGCGUGGUGUAGCGGUGAAAUGCAUAGAUAUCACGCAGAACUCCGAUUGCGAAGGCAGCAUACCGGCGCUCAACUGACGCUCAUGCACGAAAGUGUGGGUAUCGAACAGGAUUAGAUACCCUUGUAGUC